CUUUGAGAUAUACAUUGGAUAAACUUAGACGUCAAAAAAUAUAGAUUAGUAACUACGUAAGUCGGAGUUUAGGUUUGUUUAUGAUGCCAUGAUGAUUUAGUUUGGUUAAUUUCUCUAAUAAUUAAGCAAUAUUCUCAAACUUUCAUUCACUUCGAUCAGUACUGCUAUGUAUAUAACUAUGGAUAUGUCAUAAACACAAUCGCAAAGCACACAGCUAUGCAUGUAGCUAGUCAUAGCUUUUUAUUAUAUGAUACACAAUGCGAUUAACAGAAUAGCAUAAACGGUUCAAUACAAACACACAUACAUAGUAAAAGCUGAUUACCGUCUAAAAUUCUGAUGAAAUCAAACACGCGCCAUUCCAAUAUCUGUAAUUUGGAUAUUUGGCCCAUGCUAUUGAGUUCCUGUUCCGGUUUAUUACCUAGAACAAAAGCUACACACAGUUUACAUAAUACACCAUGCCAGAGAUUCAUGAAGGAUUGAAGGCUUCAGAUCAGUGCUGGAUAUUCAACAAUGGGACUUGAAAUUAUCGCAGGUAAAAUAACGGUGAGAGUCACUCUCGGAAGAGCCAUGUCCGUACUUACCAUAACUCUCAUUUGCAUUGUCGUCGGCUUGAACAUCAUGCUUAGCAUCGCUGUUGCUGCUACCCUUGUUUGUGGUCCGGGGCUGAGACUGGGACUGGUCUUUUGCACCGCCACUAAGAACCUCAGCGCUUCGACCCUGAUUUGGGUCGGUCUUGACCUGAGCCAAGUGACGCUCGUUCAGAACAAACCGAUUAGCAGCAGCUUGCAGAGAUGCCACCAUCAACACAAAGCCGAUAACGCUUAUGACAAGUAUGGUCCUCAUGAUGGUACGUAAAUGAUUCUGCACAAACUAAUGAGAAGUACAUGCAAGUAAAUCAAUAUCAUAGCUAUGUAUUAGUCAAGAAAAUACAAUUAUAUCAAUAAAAGCUUGAAAUAUAAGAUCUAGGCUAGGGUUGUGGAGGAUAUAGCAUACCCUGCAGGAUUGGAGAAAUAUCCAGUGUCUGAAGAAACAACUAUAUGACAGAAGGGAUUGCAAAGGUUGCAAUUUAUAGGCAAUUGGAGACUGAGAUAACUAAGACAGACUAGGUAAUUAGAACAGAGCAGGCAUAUGUGGAAGUGGUGGUAUCACAUUCAGAAGACUGUCGAGAGCUCAGGAUACAAGCUAAGCCACCAAAGAAGCAAAUCAUGAUUACGCGCGGAAUGAUAAUUAGGGUACUUAAUUAAUGUCAUUG
Molecule: long non-coding RNA, 1252 nt
Filed under: Fragaria vesca (wild strawberry)
Lineage: Eukaryota; Viridiplantae; Streptophyta; Magnoliopsida; Rosales; Rosaceae
Description: long non-coding RNA (FVES_LNC001563)
Source: RNAcentral